UGUGAAGUGAUUAUAUCUAAUUAAGUAUAUUACUACAGGUUUUAGAAGAGCAAUAGUUAGAAAAAGGUAAUUUAGAUGUCUAUUCUUAAUCCUAAACUCAAGCCAUUGAUAUUAAAAUUAGAUUGUUGCAUUAAUUAAAUAGUCUAUUAGGCCGGAUUCUAACGCACAUGCAUUCGAAAUACACUACCUAAUAAUCAAGCUAAAACAAACCAAAUAUUAUUGACUACAGCACCCCCCCCUUUGACCAAGAGCAGAUUUAAAGUUCAUUCGAAAGUUCACAAAUUAAAUCAUUACCAAAACUGUCCAGUUAUACAUCCCGCAGGCAUUUACAUGAUAUUAGUGAGUGAGAUAUCCUAAUAUACAAAUCAGUAGAAAAGCUAAAUCAAACUUAAAGCUUCAAAUCUUCAUGUAUAUUCAUGCUUCAUUUUUUCAGCUUACAAAUAAUCAGGGUUGCAGCUGUGUACCUGGAAAUGGCAAUACAAUGAGAAGAGAAGGAGGUCAGCAACAGGUAAAAAUUCCAGCAAUUAACAACAACUCAACAGCAGUAAUUCAACCCAAGUUCGAAGCGCAGAAAAUUUUGAAAACCAAACAAGAGUCGAUAGAACAACCUCAAACAAUGCCAAAACCCAAGAAUGAAUCAGGGACUGAAGUAUAAGCAGUUAGCUGAUCUAUCCACUAACUCGAACCAACAGACUCGAAGCAAAUAGAUUAAGGGACUGAAUUCUAGUUCAAAACUGAAAAAGAUAAUGAGAAGGAUCAAUGAAAUAGUAUUCUCUUUUCUCGAUGUUUUCACACCCCCUCAAAAUUGUAUAAGAACUCUCUCCAAAACCGAAUGCCUUUAAAAAUCUAUAUCUCUCUAAAAAAAACUGAUUUUUUAAGCCUUCAAAACUCUCAAACUCUUUAAAACUGAAAUCCUUAAGCUCUAGGAAACUCCCUCAAUUUGGACUCUUUCUAUGUGUUUUUGACUCUAAACUCUUACUCCUCGUCUAAAAAUCUCUCCCAAAAAAAUGUGUUCCUCUCAAUAUCUAUCUAGACCCCUCUUUAUACCCAACCCUGACCUUGCCAGCUCUCAAGGGCACUUAGGCAGAAAUUUUUAAGAUAAUUCUGCCCAUGAUCUCUUUUCAAUUCCACUAGAAUAUGUUUUGUUCCCCACUAAACUUCUUUUUAUUUAUUAAUCCCACGCGGGUAUGGGCAGCCUAUUUUUUCUAUUCAAAUCCCUUAAACCUUGUGAAAUGAUGCCUAUGAUCCCUUACACAGCCAUCAACCUCCCCCCCACUACUAUUUUAUACUAUUUCAAUAGUUUAAUGGUACUUUAGCACCCUACUAUUAGAAUAUUCAACUAAGCCAUUUGCUACACUGAUUCAAUUAUCUAAAUGAGCUGAAUUUAAACUCUAAACACCUCAGCUAUAACCAAUCCACAACCAAAUUCAAACAAUGAUUCAAUUAGAAUUGAAACAGUAUAAAUCAAAUUAUUAUCAGGUUAUUCUAACAUUCAAGCAUGUAAAACUAAUCGACGACACUUAUCCAAUCGACUACACGAAUUACAACAAAUACAAUCAAUAGCAAAUCAGAAUCGAACAGGCACACAGGUGAUUCGAGUCGUAUUGAUAGAAACAGGGAACUUAUAGACUAACAAAUUACAUGGCUAAAUACAUAUAUCCGACCAUGCACAGAAGCAGACUCGACCAAAUAAAAGGUCUGAUUGGGGAAGAAGAAGGAGCAAUGAACAAAACUGGAUUAUAACUAACUAAACACAAUUAACCGUAGCAAAAAUAGAACAAGAAAGGAAAAAAAGGUACCUUAACAAAACAGAAACCAGACGAACCCAGGUCGAACCCUUGACUUGAACUUUUUGAGGUCGAACGGACCUUAAUCGAGUGUUCAACUGAGAACACUUUGACUAAGGUCCACUGGACACCCAAAUUCCUUUUCUUCGGACAAACUCCAGCCUUUGGUUUUCUAGGGUUCUUGGGGUUUGAUUUGGGGUUCGAACGGUCUUAGCCUGAUUCGAACCAAACCAAAGGUGGUUUGGUAACGAGGGAGGUCUGGGGGCGUCAUGGUGUGAGUUUGGGGCUGGUUGGGGUAGUUUCAAGUUUUACUUGAAUCUUCGAUUGAAGAUUCGAGAAGCUACAGGCUGAUUCGAGCAAAACGGAUAAGGGAUUCAUGGAGAGGGUGGUUAGGUGCUCUAGGGGUGUUAGUUUCAUGGUCAUCGGCGUUGUUGCCGCCGGGUUUACGGCGGAGGGAUUUGGUGGCGGCUAGGGUUUCGAAGGUCGUCUCUGAGGGGUCUGAGAGAGACGAUGGGGCGAGGGGGGUUUGGUUUGGGGGCGUGGGGUAAGGAAUUAGGGUUAUAUACGGGAGGGGGCGUUUGAUCUUGGUCGUUGGAUCAAUCACGAUCAACGGCUUGGAUCAUUUUACUAAUAGGAAACGACAUCGUUUGGCCAUGCUACAAGACUGGGUCGACCCGGGUGAAAUGGACCGGGUUAUGGGGGAAGCCUGGGACUGUUAGAUCAAAACAAAUCAAUGGCUUGAAUUUAUUGGCCAAAUACGACGUCAUUUGGAUAUAUCUGGAGACGGACUGGACCGUUUGAUCGUAUGAGAUUGACGGUCCAGAUUCACAAUGCCCAAAUGAUGUCGUUCUAGACUAGUCGCAGGUGGACUGGAUUUGGGGCGGGUAUUGGGCUGACUUGGGGGUGACAUUGGGCCUGAUUUUGGGUUGUUUUGGACGGCCCAGUUCCGAUUUCCACUUGUUUUUGUUUUGUUUUCUUUUAAUUUCUAAUUAGCAAAAAAAAUCUAUAAUAAAUUGUAAAACCAAAAUUAACCUACAAAAAUAUUAAUUAACAUUUAACUGCAAUUAACACACAAAAUUUAACACCAAAAAUCACACAAUUGUACACUAAUCGGCAAAAUAGAACAAAUACAUAUUUUUGUGAUUUCCUUUCUUCUAAAACCAAACUAUGGUUUAAUUAAUUCCAAAAUGCACAAUUAAAUCCUAGAUGUGCAUGCAACAUGUAUUUUUGUAUUUUUUAAUUAAUUAAAUAAAAUAAACACUCACAGACAAAAUAAUUACGAAAAUGUCACGCGAAAUUCUUAAACUUGUACCCAAAUGACAUUUGUUUUAUUUUUCGAUUUCUUUUGGAGUAGUUUUCAUGAAGAAAAAAUCACGUGCUCACACCUGUCCCCAUUUACCUUACGCAAUCGCGAGAGUGACUACGCGAUCGCGAAGAGCAACAGGCCUGAGCACUUGUUGCAGAUUUUCUGCAAUUUUUCCUAAGUUCAAACUUCCCAAAACACACUCGAGCCCUCGGGUCUCCUAACUAAACACACGUACUAACUCAACAACAUCAUACGAACUUAUCCGUGUGAUCAAAUUGCCAAAAUAACCUCAAUAACAAUGAAUCAAACCUCAAAAUCAAGAACUUUUUCUCAAAUUUCAUCAAGUAUCAAAUUUAACAAUUUAGGUUCGAAUCACGUCAAACGACGUUCGUUUUCAACCAAACUUUACAGAAAUGACUUAAACCAUAUAUAAGACCUGUACCAGGCGCCGGAACCAAAAUACAAGCCCGAUACCAUCGCUUUCUAAUCAGAUUUCAUUUCAAAUUUCCUUAAAAAUUUCAGAAAUUUCCUUUAAAAAUUCAUUUCUCGGGCUCGGGACCUUGGAAUUCGAUUCCGGGCAUACGUCCAAGUCCCAUAUUUUCCUACGGACCCUCCGGGACCGUCAACUCACGGGUCCAGUUCUGUUUACCCAAAAUAUUGACCGAAGUCAAAUUUAUUCAUUUUAUAGUAAAAACUUAUUAUUUUUUACAAAAUGUCAUAUAUAAGCUUUUCGGCUACACGCCCGAACUGCGCACGCAAAUCGAGGUGACUCUAAAUGAUAUUUUCAAGGCCUCAAAGACACAAAAUUCAAUUAAAAGCAAAUGAUGACCUUUUGGGUCAUCACACCUUAGGUUUGUUAAGUCUUUGUUAUUUGUUCUUCAUUGUAACUCCUAUCUUGCUUUAUUAGAAGCUUUGUUUUAGGAAAUUCAAAAGCAUAAACCAUCUGAGUUUGUGUCUUGGCUAGAGUUAGCCGAGUUGUGAAGUCUUUGUAAUAGAGUUAUUACAAAGUAGCUUGUAAUAGAGUUGUUACAAGUUAGAGUGAUCAAAGUAUUUGCAACUAGAGAGUGACAAAGUGGCUUGUGGUGAGAGCAUCACAAGUUUGUUAAAGUCUUUGAAACUAGAAGAGUGACAAAGUGGCUUGUGGUGAGAGUACCACAAGUUAGUUGAGUUGAAUUCUUUGUAAUAGAGUCAUUACAAAGUGGCUUGUAAUAGGUGUUUACAAGUUAGUGAAGUUGAAAUCCUACCAGUGUAGGUCAUGAUUUUUUGUCCUCUUGAGUUAGAAUUUUUCCACGUAAAAAUCAUGUGUCUCAUUUACAUACUGGUUUAGUAGUUAGCACAGUGGGAACUGAUAUAUUACCAGAUCUCUAUACAGUUUGGUUCAUUAGUAUUUUCAGUGGAAACUCAUAGAGGACCAGGUACUCUAUACUGUUUGGUGGACUCAUACAAACUAACAAAAAUAUCGUUGGUAGAGACUUGAUAAAUAAAUCAAUCAUAUUAAUUUGAAUGAAUAUAUUGCACCUUGAAAUCAUCAUUCUUGAGAGAAAUAUAAGGUCUUCAUAAAAUGUUGUGGGGUGGCCUUUUCAAUAUCUCAAUAGAUGUAAAAAUUCCCGCUAUCACAUUAUCAUGCUUAUAGUUAUAGCAAGAUUCAUAUCUGCACAAAUUACACUUAUCAUAUGGCACUUCAGGACCAAGAAUUGUAUAUGCUUCAAGCAAUUUAAAUCCUUCAAGGAUUGUCAUAUAAGUUAAGUCAUAUAAGUCAUAUGAAUGGACUAGAUGCAUAUCAAGUUUUUAUGUCAUGGUAGACAUAUAAGAUAGAUAAAGGUGAUUGCACACACCAUUGACUUUUUACUUUCAAGUGUUUGAACUAUAUGUCCAAAAAUACAUAUCUUUCAUAUGAAACCAAUUCUAUUUGAAUUGCGUCUCUUCCAUGUGGCCAAUAUUUUGUAUCUAUAUUCGACAGACUUGAGGUCCUCAUCUAUACUUAAUGCUAUAAUAGAUGUCGUCGAUGAACAAUUUAUAUCGAUUCCAGCUUUUUUUUUCUAUAAAUACCUGACAUAGAGAUCUCUUCAUUCAUAUUUUCAACUACUUGAAUCUCUCCCGAGUUGUUANNNNNNNNNNNNNNNNNNNNNNNNNNNNNNNNNNNNNNNNNNNNNNNNNNNNNNNNNNNNNNNNNNNNNNNNNNNNNNNNNNNNNNNNNNNGGGUCAGCAAAUGUGUCUGGCAUGCUUUGCAAUAUAUUGCAAAUGAAUUAUCUUUUUAUGAACUUCAAGUUUAUAUUAUCUUAUUCGAGGAUCUAAAUGUAUAAAUAAUAAUUUAUUCCAUGUAAUUUUUUCUCAAUUAUUUAUUAUGUCUCCCCCUCAUGUUAGAAAAACUAACUUGUUUUCCUCAACUUUGAGAACUCAUCUUUGUGCGUUAUGGUAUUAAUCAAAAUAUACCCCGCACAUCAAUAAAAAUAAGAUGAAAUUAUUUGGUUCCUGAUCCUUAACCACUUGUGAGGGGAGAAAAUAAUAUACUUUGGUAUAUAACGUAUAUCAAAUUGAUAUAGAUAACUUUGUUCUCAUAAGCAAUUAUUUAGCUAUUAAGUGGAGGCACUCAAUAAAUCAUUUUGCUAAACCAACUGUGAUGUAAACCAACUUAUUAAGAUGAACUAUCUUGAAUAAAAAAUCUGGAAAUUAUGCUCUAAAUCAAAUUAUUGAGCAAGUUACUUUGCAAACACCAUGUUGCGGGUUAAUAAUAAUCGCACAUGUAACCAUCUCAUAGAUGCAUUUUAUGUGAAAUACAUGGUAGGUGAAUGAGCCCAUAUUCACCUUUGAUAUUUCCAGCAUUCGUGGGAUUGAAUCCCAAUUUUACUUGGUCUAUUAAUUAAUGAGAACAAACAACAUAAGAGAAUUCGUAAGGAACUUUCUAGUUCUUUAAUAUUUACCCAUGUGAAUUCUUUUUUAUUUUUUCGCAUCAUACUUAAAUUAACAUGGCUAAACUAAUUAUGCCAACUGAAUAAAUUAUCAAUAUAGAAUCAUGACGUGUGCAAUUAUGAAUAAACUCCAAGUUUAUUAUGAUAUGGGUUUUUAGAUCAAUAAACUUCUACUUUAUUGUGACAUUCUUUUAUUUGUGCAGUACAAACUGGAAAAUAAAGCUGAUAGCUUUUCACAUAUAUAUUACCCUGCUACAAGUUGUAGUAAUAGAAGAUAUUAAAUCUUUCCUUUAUUUAUAGUCUCAAUAUAACCAAUCACUUUCGCGAAUACUUUAGAAACUAAAUAAGUUUAUUUGAGAAUUUGAGACUUACUACAACAUAAUGCCUUAUUGAUAAUCAAUUAUAUUCCUCCAAAAUAGUAAUAAUUGGCUCUUCGAGAGCUCUCAAUUAAUGUGGUACUACCAUAUAUUCAUCAACUUCCAUAUGGUGAAUAUCUCUUUUAAAAAGAAUGUUAUACCAUUAUGGUAGUGGUCAAAAUUAUAUGCAAGAUCUGUUUCUUGCAUCACUAUUGUUCCUUAAUAAUCACAUUGCCAAAAUAUUUUGGCGUACAAUAAGUACGUGAUCAAUGAUCAUUCAUGCCAUAAGAAUGACAUUAUGUUCUUAUUACCUCUCAAACCUCCUCCUACAGGUGAGUGCGGUAUAUUCACUACCACUAGCACAUUUAUAUCUUCCAAGAAUGAAUUCAUAAAUCACAUGUUGUCACAUUCAAAUCAUGAAUGGACGAUAAUCAUCUAUAUGUGCUUUACAAAAUAACAUGUGAAAUUGAUGACAAACAUUACUCUCACAGAGUGAAAGAUUAUUUUGAGAAUUCUUAUUGUUCUCAUUACCACAAUGAUGACGAUUAUAAUUUCAUCAAUUGCCACGUUCACAUCCAUUGAUACCUUUACGGUAAUAAUUUUGUCUUCUUUCAGACUUAUCACAUACUGCUAUCACAUUCUCUUAAGAGAAUGAGAAUGAAAGCAAAUUCAAUGGGACGAGUUUUCAAUUCUUUGCCCAUAAUCAUACAUGAAUUUGAUCAUGGCAAGACAUAAAAUUUUAUCAUUUUGGGUGGUUAUAAUUUCUUUCAAACUCCAUUAGAGUUACAAUCAAAAUUUAUCUUCUUUGCUUGUAUUUAAAAUCGAAUUAUAGAAUUUCAAGAAUUUAAAAGAGAAAAAUAAAGUAAAAUACUUACCUUAAAUCGAGAAUUUAAUCAUGAAGGAGUUCAAGAAAUUGUAUGAUCUAAUUCUCUCUUUGCACCAUAUUUGGUUAUGGAAGAGCGGAAUCGAAGG
Molecule: long non-coding RNA, 7330 nt
Filed under: Nicotiana tabacum (common tobacco)
Lineage: Eukaryota; Viridiplantae; Streptophyta; Magnoliopsida; Solanales; Solanaceae
Description: long non-coding RNA (NTAB_LNC019382)
Source: RNAcentral